CUGUCUAAACUAGAUGAAACACAUAGUUUUUAUAGACAUCCAUUUGUGCGUCUUUGAUGCAUAGUGAUUUUUUUAAAAUUUUUUGAGAUCCACGACUUUUAGGGAGCAACCAGUUUAACAUACAUUUUUGGAGUACCAGCCAAGAAAACAAGGAAAAGCUCUGGGAGUUUGUCACCAACUUUUUCUCUUUCCUUGUCUUUCCGGUAGUCAUAAAAUAUUCUCACCGAUCUCUGUUUACUUUCUCUAAGAAUUAUUUUUGUUUGUUCUUAUGCUUUUUCGUGGUUCAUCCUGAAGAAUUAGGCUACAUACAAGAUUACUUACAGAAAUAUGUGAUAUUUCUUAUGAUUAUUGAGUACUUCAUGUCUAAGUACUUCAAAAAUCCUAAAUUCAGGAUGUCGAGAUUGAAGAGACGGUUGAUGUCAUAAUAUCUGAAUGGAUGGGCUACACGCUCCAGUAUGAGUGCAAUUUUUGCCAGAGAUAAAUGGCUCAAACCAGGAGGACUUAUUCUUCCUUCUCACGCCUCGCUUUACAUGGCAGCCGUUACCAAUUCUGAACGGUAUCAUGAGAGCAUUCACUUCUGGCAUAAUGUUUAUGGAAUUAAAAUUGAGCCUGGUUCAGUACUUCUGCAAUAUGUCUUCUAGAUCAUGCUUAUCAAGUGGAUCAUGGACAAUACUACGUAGAAAUGGAAAUUGGAAAUGCAAUUGCUUCAGAUUCAUCGAUCCUGAUGUCAUUCACAAUGCAGUGUCUGCUUUGAUUCCUUUUGCAAAACUAACUGCAUUAGAGGAACCUUCCGUUGAGACAAUUAAAGGAGAAAAUGUUUGACUUGGCCAUCGUUGGUUACAGAAGUGGAUUGCUAUACGGUAAGAGUUCAAGAGGUUAAAACCGUCAGAGCAAAGUGUUAAGUUUUCAUCGAUGCUGCAAG
Long non-coding RNA from Ananas comosus (pineapple), 922 nucleotides. RefSeq lists it as uncharacterized. NCBI's taxonomy places the organism in Eukaryota, Viridiplantae, Streptophyta, Magnoliopsida, Poales, Bromeliaceae. The transcript is spliced from 5 exons. The record is from RefSeq and is a predicted model, not a curated record.